UACGAAGGGGGCUAGCGUUGCUCAGAAUCACUGGGCGUAAAGCGCACGUAGGCGGACUCUUAAGUCGGUGGUGAAAUCCUGGAGCUCAACUCCAGAACUGCCUUCGAUACUGGGAGUCUUGAGUCCGGGAGAGGUGAGUGGAACUGCGAGUGUAGAGGUGAAAUUCGUAGAUAUUCGCAAGAACACCAGUGGCGAAGGCGGCUCACUGGCCCGGUACUGACGCUGAGGUGCGAAAGCGUGGGGAGCAACAGGG
This 253-nucleotide ribosomal RNA is filed under the name uncultured bacterium. RNAcentral describes it as "partial 16S ribosomal RNA". It matches the Rfam family "Bacterial small subunit ribosomal RNA", at positions 524 to 776 of the family's 1533-position model. The record is from RNAcentral.